This 433-nucleotide ribosomal RNA is filed under the name uncultured bacterium. RNAcentral describes it as "partial 16S ribosomal RNA". It matches the Rfam family "Bacterial small subunit ribosomal RNA", at positions 29 to 507 of the family's 1533-position model. The record is from RNAcentral.
AACGAACGCUGGCGGCAUGCCUAACACAUGCAAGUCGAACGAUGCUUUCGGGCAUAGUGGCGCACGGGUGCGUAACGCGUGGGAAUCUGCCCUUGGGUUCGGAAUAACAGUGAGAAAUUGCUGCUAAUACCGGAUGAUGUCUUCGGACCAAAGAUUUAUCGCCCAGGGAUGAGCCCGCGUAGGAUUAGCUAGUUGGUGGGGUAAUGGCCUACCAAGGCGACGAUCCUUAGCUGGUCUGAGAGGAUGAUCAGCCACGCUGGGACUGAGACACGGCCCAGACUCCUACGGGAGGCAGCAGUGGGGAAUAUUGGACAAUGGGCGCAAGCCUGAUCCAGCAAUGCCGCGUGAGUGAUGAAGGCCUUAGAGUUGUAAAGCUCUUUUACCCGGGAUGAUAAUGACAGUACCGGGAGAAUAAGCUCCGGCUAACUCCGUG